This 554-nucleotide ribosomal RNA is filed under the name uncultured bacterium. Its description in RNAcentral is "partial 16S ribosomal RNA". It matches the Rfam family "Bacterial small subunit ribosomal RNA", at positions 355 to 925 of the family's 1533-position model. The record is from RNAcentral.
UGGGGAAUAUUGCACAAUGGGCGAAAGCCUGAUGCAGCAACGCCGCGUGAGUGAUGAAGGCCUUCGGGUUGUAAGGCUCUGUCUUUUGGGACGAUAAUGACGGUACCAAAGGAGGAAGCCACGGCUAACUACGUGCCAGCAGCCGCGGUAAUACGUAGGUGGCAAGCGUUGUCCGGAUUUACUGGGCGUAAAGGAUGCGUAGGCGGAUUUUUAAGUGAGAUGUGAAAUACCCGGGCUUAACUUGGGUGCUGCAUUUCAAACUGGGAAUCUAGAGUGCGGGAGAGGAGAAUGGAAUUCCUAGUGUAGCGGUGAAAUGCGUAGAGAUUAGGAAGAACACCAGUGGCGAAGGCGAUUCUNUGGACCGUAACUGACGCUGAGGCAUGAAAGCGUGGGUAGCAAACAGGAUUAGAUACCCUGGUAGUCCACGCCGUAAACGAUGAGUACUAGGUGUAGGAGGUAUCGACCCCUUCUGUGCCGCAGUUAACACAAUAAGUACUCCGCCUGGGAAGUACGAUCGCAAGAUUAAAACUUAAAUGAAUUGACGGGGUCAUAGC